GACUAGGGUUGCAACGAAGUUGCAGUGAGAUGAAGGUGGCCGCACCGGUUGUAGAUGGUUGAGAUGGUCCCUGGAAGUGGCAAGGCUUGAGCAAGGCUGGGAGAUAGCAGCAGAACCUCGAUGUGCAGCCUCAGUCCGGGGCAAACGGGCUUCCCCAACACCCCGGCUGGUUGGAUCUCUGGCUUUGCAUCCUUUCUGAUGUGGUUUUCUUCUUUGCAUACCUUUUGCCA
Molecule: long non-coding RNA, 230 nt
Filed under: Homo sapiens (human)
Lineage: Eukaryota; Metazoa; Chordata; Mammalia; Primates; Hominidae
Description: non-protein coding lnc-NAA35-5:1
Source: RNAcentral